This 645-nucleotide ribosomal RNA is filed under the name Drosophila hydei. RNAcentral describes it as "partial 16S ribosomal RNA". The record is from RNAcentral. Lineage: Eukaryota; Metazoa; Arthropoda; Insecta; Diptera; Drosophilidae.
UUAGAUUUUAUUUAUUAAUUUUAUUUAUUUUAAUUGAAAAUAUUAAAAAUAAUUUUAUAAUAAAAAGUUUUAGUAUUGUUUAAAGAAAAAAUAAAUUUAAUAAUAGUUUAAUAGUAUUGUAAAAGAAAAUUGAAAUAAUUUGAAAAAUUUUUAUUAUAAAAGAAAAUUUAAUUUAUUGUACCUUGUGUAUCAGUGUUUAUUAAAUAAAAAAUAUUGAAAAUAUUUUUCUCGAUUUUAAAAGAGUUAAUAUAAUAUGUAAGUUAAUGUAGUAAAAUUAUUUAUAAUAUUAUAUUAGAAAUGAAAUGUUAUUCGUUUUUAAAGGUAUCUAGUUUUUCAAGAAAUGAAUUUAAUUCAGAAUUUAUAGAUUUAUUUAAUAAUUUUUUUAAUUAAAUGAUUUAUAAACUUAAUAUUUUAUGGGAUAAGCUAUAAAAUAAAGUUUUAUAAAUAAUAAAUAAAUUUAAUAAAUAUAUGCUUAGAAUUAGCAAUUGUUUAAAAUUAUGUUAUAAUUUAUUUUAUAAAAUAAAUUAUUUAUUAUAUUUUAAUUAUUUAUUGAAAUAUUAAUUUUAAUUUUUUAAAUUAAAUAAUAAUGAUAAAAUUAGUAUAUUUUAUUGUAAGUAUAAAUUUAAAUGAAAAGAUUAUAUAAAG